GAUGUGGUGCAAUGGUAGUGCAACUGCCUGCGACGUAGCAGGUUCCGGGUUCGAUUCCUGGUGGGUCA
Non-coding RNA from Phthorimaea operculella (potato tuberworm), 68 nucleotides. NCBI's taxonomy places the organism in Eukaryota, Metazoa, Arthropoda, Insecta, Lepidoptera, Gelechiidae. The record is from the annotation of a GenBank genome assembly.